This 1220-nucleotide long non-coding RNA is filed under the name Portunus trituberculatus (swimming crab). RNAcentral describes it as "uncharacterized LOC123514033, transcript variant X1". The record is from RNAcentral. Lineage: Eukaryota; Metazoa; Arthropoda; Malacostraca; Decapoda; Portunidae.
CUCGGGCAGUGUGAGAGGAAGGGUGCCACGGGUCCUCCCUGGGCGCGACACCCACGCCACGCCACACCACGCCGCGCAGCCCUCAGUCCUCAGCCUUCCCCUCCCGAGCGCCGACACCGUCUCGCAGGCGUUCCAGUGACGGCGACACAGCCAACAGCAGCAAAAGUUCCCACGCGUUCUUGUGUUGUCGUGUUCGUGACAAAGGGUGACAGACGGAGAGAGGAAGGAAAGCAACACGUGAAUCAAAGCAAUGCAGAUAACAUAGAGGAGGGAACGCACAGACAGGCAGGGAGAAGGAACACUCAAAGGGUAAAGGUGUUCGAGGAGUGGAAGGUGACAUCAUUGGCGUGACUAGUUUGUUCGUGAUUGACGUGGAAAGUGUAAGGUUUGAAUAAAGAAUUACUCUGAUAAGACUGUAAUGGAUGAGCGGGAGGAUUAAUUGAAAGGAAGUAAACAUACGAAAAAAGGAACAUUAAAACAGAGACACAGUGAGAUAGACAGCGAGUGAAAUAGAGAGAGAGAGAGAGAGAGAGAGAGAGAGAGGAAAAAAGUAACAGAGAACACUAAUACGAAGAACGAAAGAGGAAAAAGAGACAAGAAAGAGACAGAAUGAGAUAGAUAGCGAGUGAAAUAUAGAGAAAGAAAAAAACAGAGGGAAAAAGUGGUAACAAAGAACACUAAUACGAAGAACGAAAGAGGAAAAAGAAACACAGAUAGAUAAUAAGUAAAAUAGAAAGAGAAAGAGAGAGACAGUGAGAAAAAGAAGUAACACAGAACACUAAUACGAGACAAAAGAGUAGCAGAUGGAGAGAAAAAUGCAAUAGUACACGAAAGAGAAAGACUAACAGGGAUAUAGAGAGACAGACAGUGAGAGAAAAAAAAGGAGAAAGAGAGAGAGAAAAAAAAUAAAACGUAGUGGACUGAUACGAAAGACGAAACAGAAAUUAAGAGAGAGAGAAAAGAUUAACAAUAGAGCAAUAGCGAUAGAAAGAGAAAGAUAACGAGAGAAAAAAAAAUAGAAAGAAAGAUAUGAGACAACAGUGAUCUAACAUAUAUAAAAAAAGACUAAAAAAAAGGAACUAGAGAGGAAAGAAAAACAAAUACAUCACACCAAAUCAGAGUAACAGAGAUAUAAAAAGACACGAGAGAGAAAAAAAAGGAAAAGUAGAAAGAAAAACAAACAACAGUGAACUGAUAUAAAACACGAAAAAGGAACUAAA